RNAcentral lists this ribosomal RNA (514 nucleotides) under uncultured bacterium. RNAcentral describes it as "bacterial SSU rRNA". It matches the Rfam family "Bacterial small subunit ribosomal RNA", at positions 24 to 518 of the family's 1533-position model. The record is from RNAcentral.
UCAGAACGAACGCUGGCGGCGUGCUUAACGCAUGCAAGUCGAACGCGAAAGGGACUUCGGUCCUGAGUAAAGUGGCGCACGGGUGAGUAACGCGUAGAUAACCUGUCUUCAUGUCUGGAAUAAUACGCCGAAAGGGGUACUAAUACCGGAUAUUCUUGCUUUUCAUAAGUUAUGCAAGCAAAGGUGGCCUCUGCAUAUGCUACUGCAUGAAGAGGGGUCUGCGUACCAUUAGCUAGUAGGUGGGGUAAUGGCCUACCUAGGCGACGAUGGUUAGCGGGUCUGAGAGGAUGAUCCGCCACACUGGCACUGGAACACGGGCCAGACUCCUACGGGAGGCAGCAGUGAGGAAUAUUGCGCAAUGGGGGAAACCCUGACGCAGCGACGCCGCGUGAGUGAGGAAGGCCUUCGGGUCGUAAAGCUCUGUCAAGAGGAAAGAAGUGUACAAUGGCUAAUACCUGUUGUAUUUGACGGUACCUCUAAAGGAAGCACCGGCUAACUCCGUGCCAGCCGCGGC